Molecule: ribosomal RNA, 423 nt
Filed under: uncultured bacterium
Lineage: Bacteria
Description: bacterial SSU rRNA
Rfam family: Bacterial small subunit ribosomal RNA
Source: RNAcentral
AAGACCUUGCGCUUUUGGAGCGGCCGAUGUCUGAUUAGCUUGUUGGUGAGGUAAAAGCUUACCAAGGCUUCGAUCAGUAGCUGGUCUGAGAGGACGGCCAGCCACACUGGGACUGAAACACGGCCCAGACUCCUACGGGAGGCAGCAGUGGGGAAUUUUGGACAAUGGGGGCAACCCUGAUCCAGCCAUGCCGCGUGAGUGAAGAAGGCCUUCGGGUUGUAAAGCUCUUUCAGCCGGAACGAAACGGUUACGGUUAAUACCCGUGACUACUGACGGUACCGGAAGAAGAAGCACCGGCUAACUACGUGCCAGCAGCCGCGGUAAUACGUAGGGUGCAAGCGUUAAUCGGAAUUACUGGGCGUAAAGCGUGCGCAGGUGGUUUUGUAAGUCAGAUGUGAAAUCCCCGGGCUUAACCUGGGAACU